RNAcentral lists this ribosomal RNA (253 nucleotides) under uncultured bacterium. Its description in RNAcentral is "partial 16S ribosomal RNA". It matches the Rfam family "Bacterial small subunit ribosomal RNA", at positions 524 to 776 of the family's 1533-position model. The record is from RNAcentral.
AACGUAGGAGGCAAGCGUUAUCCGGAUUUACUGGGCGUAAAGGGCGUGCAGGUGGUUUUGUAAGUGGUGCGUGAAAGCGCUCGGCUCAACCGGGCGAGGCCGUGCCAAACUGCAAGACUGGAAACAGGCAGAGGAAAGUGGAAUUCGGGGUGUAGUGGUGAAAUGCGUAGAGAUCCCGAGGAACUCCAGUGGCGAAGGCGACUUUCUGGGCCUGCUUUGACACUCAGACGCGAAAGCAUGGGGAGCGAACGGG